This 545-nucleotide ribosomal RNA is filed under the name uncultured archaeon. RNAcentral's name for it is "bacterial SSU rRNA". It matches the Rfam family "Archaeal small subunit ribosomal RNA", at positions 334 to 879 of the family's 1478-position model. The record is from RNAcentral.
CCCAGGCGCGAAAACUUUACAAUGCGGGAAACCGUGAUAAGGGGACACCGAGUGCCAGCAUCAUAUGCUGGCUGUCCGGGUGUGUAAAAUACACCCGUUAGCAAGGGCCGGGCAAGACCGGUGCCAGCCGCCGCGGUAACACCGGCGGCCCGAGUGGUGAUCGUGAUUAUUGGGUCUAAAGGGUCCGUAGCCGGUUUGGUCAGUCCUCCGGGAAAUCUGACGGCUCAACCGUUAGGCUUUCGGGGGAUACUGCCAGGCUUGGAACCGGGAGAGGUAAGAGGUACUACAGGGGUAGGAGUGAAAUCUUGUAAUCCCUGUGAGACCACCUGUGGCGAAGGCGUCUUACCAGAACGGGUUCGACGGUGAGGGACGAAAGCUGGGGGCACGAACCGGAUUAGAUACCCGGGUAGUCCCAGCCGUAAACGAUGCUCGCUAGGUGUCAGGCAUGGCGCGACCGUGUCUGGUGCCGCAGGGAAGCCGUGAAGCGAGCCACCUGGGAAGUACGGCCGCAAGGCUGAAACUUAAAGGAAUUGGCGGGGGAGCAC